This 470-nucleotide ribosomal RNA is filed under the name uncultured bacterium. RNAcentral describes it as "bacterial SSU rRNA". It matches the Rfam family "Bacterial small subunit ribosomal RNA", at positions 28 to 507 of the family's 1533-position model. The record is from RNAcentral.
GAUGAACGCUAGCGACAGGCUUAACACAUGCAAGUCGAGGGGCAGCACGGUGUAGCAAUACAUUGGUGGCGACCGGCGCACGGGUGAGUAACGCGUAUGCAACCUACCUAUCAGGAGGGGAAUAACCCGGCGAAAGUCGGACUAAUACCGCAUAAAACAGGGGUUCCGCAUGGAAAUAUUUGUUAAAGAAUUAUCGCUGAAAGAUGGCCUCGCGUCUGAUUAGCUAGUUGGUGAGGUAACGGCCCACCAAGGCGACGAUCAGUAGCCGGACUGAGAGGUUGACCGGCCACAUUGGGACUGAGAUACGGCCCAGACUCCUACGGGAGGCAGCAGUGGGGAAUAUUGGGCAAUGGGCGCAAGCCUGACCCAGCAACGCCGCGUGAAGGAAGAAGGCUUUCGGGUUGUAAACUUCUUUUAAGUGGGAAGAGUAGAAGACGGUACCACUUGAAUAAGCCACGGCUAACUACGUG